CUACGGGCGGCAGCAGUGGGGAAUAUUGCACAAUGGGGGAAACCCUGAUGCAGCCAUGCCGCGUGUGUGAAGAAGCCCUGCAGGUUGUAAAAUACUUUCAGCGGGGAGGAAGGCGGUAGCGUUAACAGCGCUAUCGAUUGGCGUUACCCGCAGAAGAAGCAGCGGCACACUCUGUGCCAGCAGCCGCGGUAAUAUGGAGGGUGCAAACGUUAAUCGGAAUUACUGGGCGUAAAGCGUAUGCAGGCGGUUUGUUAAGUCAGAUGUGAAAUCCCCGGGCUUAACCUCGGAACUGCAUUUGAAACUGGCAGGCUAGAGUCUCGUAGAGGGGGGUAGAAUUCCAGGUGUAGCGGUGAAAUGCGUAGCGAUCUGGAGGAAUACCGGUGGCGAAGGCGGCCCCCUGGACGAAGACUGACGCUCAGGUACGAAAGCGUAGGGAGCAAACAGGAUUAGAUACCCCGGUAGUC
RNAcentral lists this ribosomal RNA (464 nucleotides) under Sodalis endosymbiont of Rhizoecus sp. 1. RNAcentral's name for it is "bacterial SSU rRNA". It matches the Rfam family "Bacterial small subunit ribosomal RNA", at positions 339 to 795 of the family's 1533-position model. The record is from RNAcentral. Lineage: Bacteria; Pseudomonadati; Pseudomonadota; Gammaproteobacteria; Enterobacterales; Bruguierivoracaceae.